RNAcentral lists this ribosomal RNA (253 nucleotides) under uncultured bacterium. RNAcentral's name for it is "partial 16S ribosomal RNA". It matches the Rfam family "Bacterial small subunit ribosomal RNA", at positions 524 to 776 of the family's 1533-position model. The record is from RNAcentral.
UACGAAGGGGGCUAGCGUUGUUCGGAUUUACUGGGCGUAAAGCGCACGUAGGCGGUUUGUUAAGUCAGGGGUGAAAUCCCGGAGCUCAACUCCGGAACUGCCUUUGAUACUGGCAAGCUAGAGUCCGGAAGAGGUAAGUGGAACUCCUAGUGUAGAGGUGGAAUUCGUAGAUAUUAGGAAGAACACCAGUGGCGAAGGCGGCUUACUGGUCCGGAACUGACGCUGAGGCACGAAAGCGUGGGGAUCGAACAGG